This is a non-coding RNA of Xyrichtys novacula (pearly razorfish), 2989 nucleotides long. NCBI's taxonomy places the organism in Eukaryota, Metazoa, Chordata, Actinopteri, Labriformes, Labridae. The record is from the annotation of a GenBank genome assembly.
GGCUGCUGGAAGAGAGUAGGUGAGUUGUGUUUAGUCUCUUUGCGAAAGAAAUUAGUCAAAGUUAAAAAGAUGUUUGGUGGCUAGUGCUGUGACUGGGACCCUGUAUGUACUGUUGAUGAAGUUAGGUGCUGUUCUGAGCAUUAUUUGUGGCUAUAGAGUGGCGUUUUUGUUGAGGUUUGUUUAUGGCUCCUCAGACCACUGUGUAUUGCUAUUGUGCGGUCAUUACUAAAGUUGGUAUAACUAGAGAAGCAAGCGGUCGGCAACAUUUAUCUCUCAAGGGGGUGUCUAACUCGGUGUUACGGUGUGUUUGACCCUAAAUUAAUUUUACGCCAGAAUAUUCCUGCAAUUUACCCUCCUUUUUCUGUCUGUCAAGGUUUUGGCUCCUUACACUAUUCAAUUUCCAUGUCAAAGCUUGGUUCGUGAACUCUGGAGCAUGCCCAGAACGCUUAGUUUCAGUCUGAUGGGAGUGCUGCUUGUAUCAGUGGAGCUUUGUCGUAGCUAAACAUGUUAAUUUACCUACACUAUCUGAGGCUAUUUCUGUAUUUGUCCUCCCAUCCUUUGACAGUGAAGUUGAUGUUUCCAUUUUUCAAAAUCCAAACCACUCUAAUUCUCAGGAUACAUGUCCUACUUCUAUUGAAAACACAGAAGUCUAAACGAUAAGUCAUCAUGAGAGUUGGGAAUAAAGUAGCAGUACUUAUAAGGGUCGAGUACUUUCUUCUGAGAGGUGAACCAUGACUGUAGUUUACUGCAUCGGUCACAUACUAGUGGAGUGAAGUUUGGGAAGUAUUGUUGAUUACAUAAUCCGUCCCAAAAGGGGAUUUAUAUAAAAUUGUUCCAUCUGACAUUUCUGCGCCGCGCAUUAGUGACCUAAUGCCUGCUGUUUGACUCAUGCUCCUCUCUGGAUCUUCAGUUUUUUCACCCUGCAGUUUGAUCAGGUAUCAAGUAAACAGGUCUGGGGUACAGCAGCCUGACGCCGCUGUCUGUCUUUGACAUUUCCCUUCUGACGCUCUCAGUCACCCCGCCCUGGAAUUCCUCCUGCAUGGCUCACACUCCUCUGCUUCGGGGCCGAGCCGGGUCCCCCUGGGGCCCAUCUUCGGGAGGAAAUUAUUUUUCAUUGCCCCCAAAACGCUUUGACUCUCGCCAGUUUGGCCCCGUCCCCUGGUUCUACUCUCCAGGUUGUAAGGUUGAGCUUCCCCCUGCCCAUAAGGGGGCGGCUGUGAGGUCAGGCCUUCAAGUAAAGCAGGUCACAACCCGGGGCUUGAGUCCUCCUCCACCCUGUUGCUCCUGCGCCUUUGUUCCCUUCACAUAAGUGCAGGUUGUAUAUUAUCUUAAAUGUACUAACCUGACUUUGCUCAAACAGUAGGAGCAGCUCAUCCAUCUUCCCCGGGUCCCUGCAGGAACUCUUGUCAAGCUUCUUACUUUUGUUACAAUCCGAGCAGCCGCCACAGUGGUUUACUGUCAAACCAGGGUUUCAUGUUGUGUUAUUAAACUUUGUGUUCCUCGUGGUUAACUUUUGGGAGCGGGACGGCCUCACCAAAAAUAUUUCACUUCAAAUCAUCCCAAGUGACUGAAAAUACAUUUUUUUGUGUUGUUGUUGUGGUUUCCACUUUUUGAGCCACACAGAACAUUAAAAACGUUUGUUUUCCACCAUUUUUGCUGCAGCUGAAUUAUAACUUUUCUGAUGUUAAUCCAGUAAUUAGGAGGUUCGGGUAUCCGCUCUAAUUCACCGUGUGACAAGUCAUGACUUUUGCUUCAAGAAUGCAGUGACUCAGAAGUUGGCUAGAUGGCUCCAGUGUUUCAGGUGACUCAGCAGGAAAUCCACUGACACUCUGAUCACAGUCACUUCGUUUUAUUCCAAAAUGUUUUCGCUCGAUUCCAAAAAACACCAAAAAACUACAUUUCUCCCACAAGACAGAGAGACAGCGGGGGUGUAUGAAUGAGGAGAGGAGGAGGAGACAAGGGGCUGAAUGGAGCUUCUGUCAGUGUUUUAAUAGCAUGUUGAAGUUUAUAACCAUAGAUGUACCAUCACAUGGGACAAUUAUUCAUUUAAUAUCUUAGCAUUCCUCUACAUGUAUAGUUCUGAUUUGUAUUAAACAUCUUAUCAAACCCAGCAGUAGAAAAGUAAAUGCUAAUUAGCUUUCAUUACUUUCAUAUCUUCAUUUAACAUAAACAAAACCAACGAUGUUAAGCACAAAGCAAAACCAUCCCAGUCCAGAAAUAACAAAAUCUGUAAAUUAGUUCAAGUUCCCUGAUUAAAAUGAGGUGUUUGAACAUCAGAAAAAAAGGUUGUAAAAAUGUAGAGUUGAUGUUUUUAUAAGAGGAAGGGGAAUUUUUGUGAAGGAGGUGACUUCCUUGAAGAUACAGUGUGUAAAAAAUGGAGUAUUCAGUGAUACCUAUAAAUCAUAUUCUAGUUUGCUCACUCCUCCUUGUCCAGAAGUAACAGUGGCCUUCUCUGAUAAGAAACUAUACAUUUUCAGUGAGUAUGUAUAACGCUUGAUCAAAAAUUUUAUUUUGCAGACAGCAGCCUCUCUCCUCUUCUUCUAGCGUGACCUCAGGCCAAUCCAUUACAGACUGCUGCGGGGUGACACAGCUCAAGGAAGAACAUUUAUGAUCAUUUCUUUAUCAUUUCCUUGAAGUAAUAAUCAACAUAUUAAUCAUUUUGCUCUGCAGACGCGGUAGUUCUUCUGCUUAGCGUCUCGGUCUGAUUGCAUUUCCAUGAAGAAAUGAUCAUAAAUGUUCCUCCUUGAGCUGCGUAACCCCGUCUUGCUACAAACAAGCGGGUGCUGGAAGAGAGUAGGUGAGUUGUUUUUAGUCUCUUUGCAAAAGAAAUUAGUCAAAGUUAAAAAGAUGUUUGGUGGCUAGUACUAUGGCUAGGACCCUAUAUGUACUGUCGAUGAAGUUAGGUGCAGUUCUGAGCAUUAUUUGUGGUUAUAGAGUGGCGUUUUAGUUGAGGUUUGUUUAUGGCUCCUCAGACCGCUGUGUAUUGCUU